RNAcentral lists this ribosomal RNA (316 nucleotides) under uncultured Gemmatimonadota bacterium. RNAcentral describes it as "bacterial SSU rRNA". It matches the Rfam family "Bacterial small subunit ribosomal RNA", at positions 28 to 351 of the family's 1533-position model. The record is from RNAcentral. Lineage: Bacteria; Pseudomonadati; Gemmatimonadota.
GACGAACGCUGGCGGCGUGCCUAACACAUGCAAGUCGCACGGGACCCGCAAGGGUUCAGUGGCGGACGGGUGCGUAACACGUGAGGAACAUGCCUAUCGGCGGGGGAUAGCCGGCCCAACGGCCGGGUAAUACCGCGUACGCUCAUCGGGGGGCAUCCCCUGGUGAGGAAAGCAGCAAUGCACCGAUAGAGUGCCUCGCGGCCUAUCAGCUAGUUGGUGAGGUAAUGGCUCACCAAGGCAACGACGGGUAGCUGGUCUGAGAGGAUGAUCAGCCACAUUGGGACUGAGACACGGCCCAGACUCCUACGGGAGGCAG